Molecule: long non-coding RNA, 3607 nt
Organism: Salvelinus fontinalis (brook trout)
Lineage: Eukaryota; Metazoa; Chordata; Actinopteri; Salmoniformes; Salmonidae
Exons: 3
Source: RefSeq, a predicted model, not a curated record
AUUUGUAUUUGGCGCCCUGCAGUUUCACUGGCUGUUGAAGAGGUGGGACGCUACCGUCUCACAUCACUACAGUCCCUGGUUCGAUUCCAGGCUGUAUCACAUCUGGCCGUGUUUGGGAGUCCCAUAGGGUGGUGCACAAUUGGCCCUGUGUCGCCGGGGUAGGCCAUCAUUAUGGGUGGAACGGAAACCCAGUGACAUCACUCGGGUCUGCAGUUGCCAUUUUCCGUUGGGAAAGAGAAAUGGCCCUGUAUUUACCAGAAAAGGUAGAUCAUCCAACAUGGCGGAAGAGGAAGAUUCAGACUGUUGAUUGGGAAACAAGAACAAACAAUGAGGCAUGAGGAUUGGAUGUCGAGGGACCACUUGUCACAUUGUCCAAGUCCAACAGCAGUGCAUCCCUCAGACCAUCCUGUGCAUGGACAUCUUGUGCCAGUGUGAUCCAAGUGCAAGCGUCCAGUUGUAGAGACUACAGCAGGUUGAGCCUGUGGAUGGACAGGUCAGUAACUCAUCAAAUGUUAUAAAACAAUUAAUUUGUAGAUACUGUAUAUCUGCACAGUAUGUUUGUGUAAGUUUCUCAUGACUUAAGAUUGGGUGUUGAGGGACCACCUGUCACAUUGUCCAAGGUGGGUUUGUGUUAUGAUAAACAAUGUGUUUUCUGUCCAGAUAAAAUAGGUGAUACAGCAUUGAAAAAGAGCUGCCACUGAGCAAAUGUCUCUUUGUUUUCCAGUCCAACAGGAGUGCAUCCUUCCAUACAUUUGUUGGAAGUCAUGUACUCUCUCAUUCUGGGGGUAAGUGUUAGUGGAAUUAAAUAAUUCCUCUAAUGUACUCAUUAAUUAAAAUCAAUCUGUUUAUUUAUAAGAAUUUGUAAGAUACUUAUUAACAUAAAAUAGACAGGAUACAGUCUUAUUAAAAUUAGAUAAUAGUAUUUAUUCUCGGAGCACGCACCCAUUUGAUCAUAAACAACAGGUUUAUAUACAAGAUAUGACGUCAUAGGUUACAUAAUAAGUCUCCUUGUCCUGACAAAUAGAAAACAGGUUGAAAAGUUCAUUCCAACUUCCCAGCGCACACACAUGACACACAAUAUAAUCUAUCCUCCUGAAGGCUGACUAUAAUUUAUUACCACUUUAGCAGACAACUCAAGAUAAUGGAAGACCUAAAAAGUUACCCACAGCCUUAUCUAAACACCUCAGGGCUAAGUUGGGUCAGUUCAACCAUAGUUUAACGACCCUUUCUGCUUAUUUUAUAACCCACAACACAAAUCUCUUGUCACCAGGCGUGCAGAGUUCAAUUAGUUAUAGUUUUAUCUAAAGCUAGAAUUUGUUUUAAUUAUUUAUUAACAAAAUUCCUAACAGUAAGACAUCAUUUAAACAUCACAGAUAUAAAUUCCCACUGUGCCCAUGAUAAAAUGCAAUGUGGAUUGUGUUGUAUUACUGAAUGAAAAUGAGGAGAUGGACUCAGACCAGCCUUUGUAAUUGAACUUAAAGGAACUACAUGACUUUAGUUGGUUGCUUUGAGCAAAACUUGAAUGCAAUAUAACUUAUUUUAGGAGCCUAUUGUUUGUGUAUGAUCUUUAUUCAUUGUUCACUUGUUUUUCAACAAUGUCAGAUACAGGCAGGGUUGACUGGGUCCUUCAGCAAGUAAGACACAGGGGGUAAGAAAUAAUUUCAACAUCACAGAUAUAUAUUCCCACUGCCCAUGAUAAAGUUAACUACAUUACUUUAGUUGGCUGCUUUGAGCAAAACUUGUAUGUACUAUAAUAUAACCUAUUCUGGGAGCCUAGUGUGUGUGUGUGAACUAUGUGGAAUAUUUUUGGACCAUUGGCUACCCUGAAAACAUGUACUGAUAGGAGGAGCAAUAUGAGUCUGUCAGAGGUCGUCACGCUGGAUGGGGAUGCUGAUGGAGGCUUUGGUGGUCCACACAACAAAGAAACAGGUGUCCCUUCCAGUGAUAUGGAGCUGACCUUGGACCUGGUGCCAGUAAGCAUGGUCUUCAAUGAAGCUGUAAGACCCUCCCUCCUUGACAUAGAAAUCCUUCGACUUCACUGCCUCGAUGCCCUCCUAUUAGUUAUCUGUUCCUCACUUUAACACACCAUACAACACACCAUCCAACGACUGUGAUCUGAGGACUCUUUUUAGCAGCGAUAGAGUAAUGCACUUGGCCCUAACCACUGCUCCAUAAUUGCUGGCCGUCAACUUCCCUCUCCUCAUGGUUUGCCAGUUGCGAUUGGUGCGCUGCCCAACUGUUGUCUGGCGUUUAGCCUCCUGCUACUCCACCGACAGCGCCAUGCCAGCCAUGAGGCCUGCAUGCCCCAUGUGCCCUUGUUUUUGAACAUUGUCCGGUACAGACAUGGAUGACAGGGAGGGUAGCGGUUGUUCUGGCUCAGGUUCAAGGAGACAUGACAUGUCGGUUCCUCUGUGGCUCCCGGGACAGAGGGUUGUAGUCUUCGGCCGGGUACAGGUCCUCCACUGACUGCACCUGGUUGGGCACGGCUGGCUUCCUCCACUCGCAUUCCACAUUCCACAUCACGAUAGCAACCAAAACCAUGUAAGUCAGUUUAUAACAUCCUUGUUUACUCUGAGAUUUCUACGUAUUGACAUUAGCUAUGGUGCUAACCUUGGAAAAGUAAUUCCAAUUUCUCCUUCCUCUUUACUAAUAGGGAUAGACCAAAUGGUGCAGUUCUAUUCAAUCUUAUAGCCAUACCAACUAUAUCAAUAUCAACCAUCAGGCAGGGCCUGCAACCGCCUAUUGAACGUAGUUUGUUUGAGUUGGAGACUCCAUGUGAAAUCGUAAAGAUUACAUCUUAAACUGGAUUACAUGAAGAUCUGGGCUAUGGAGAUGAAUCUGGACAUCGUGGUAUUGACGGAAACUUGGAUCUCUAAGGACAUUCUAGACUGAUAUUAAUAUUAAGAGUAUAGAUUGUAGAGUGGCCAUUCAUAUAUUUUUUUAAACGUCUCUUUACUGAAAUCCAUUUCACUUGCCCAAAAAUGUUAGCUAAAAAAUGGAAGCCAUUGUCUGGGGAAAAAUGUAUCCAUAACUCUUAUAAGGGUCUACCGUCCUCCCUUGGCUAACUUUUGUGUACUCAUGGAAUUCACUAGUUUGUUGUCUUCUUUUACUAAAUCAGAAGUUAAUAUCCUGGGUGACCUAAAUUAUGAUUGAGAAAUACAGGCUUCAGACAAUCCAAAAGACGUGUAAUGAUCUAAACCUAACCCAGCUGUUGACUAAGCCUACACGGCCCAACCCCGACCCUCAAAGUCAGCUCUUAUUGAUGUUAUUUUAACGAAUACAGCAGAGAAAAAUGUGACCCAUUUCAAGAAACUAGGCAUAUGUCACACGUCACUACUUCACAGAUGAGGCAUUUUAAUUCCUUUUUAUUUAAAUACAUUUUUGGCAGAAAUGUCUUCUGUAAUGUGAACUUUGCAGGCCUUAAUAACAAACUUGUAUUCCAUCUGUAAAUACAAAUAAAAUGGUUAAAUUACAAGCCUAGUUGGUUUAGCCACGGACAAAGGCAGGAACUGGGGGGUGGUUAUAGCAUUUCUUUCACAUGACCCAUCAAUUUAGACAAGUGUGUCUGGUAAGGGUCAUCUAAUAAUAAAAUAAUAUUUAUAAAACA